AAAGAGCUCGUAGGUGGUUUGUCGCGUUGUUCGUGAAAUCUCACGGCUUAACUGUGAGCGUGCGGGCGAUACGGGCAGACUUGAGUACUGCAGGGGAGACUGGAAUUCCUGGUGUAGCGGUGGAAUGCGCAGAUAUCAGGAGGAACACCGGUGGCGAAGGCGGGUCUCUGGGCAGUAACUGACGCUGAGGAGCGAAAGCGUGGGGAGCGAACAGGAUUAGAUACCCUGGUAGUCCACGCCGUAAACGGUGGGUACUAGGUGUGGGUUUCCUUCCUUGGGAUCCGUGCCGUAGCUAACGCAUUAAGUACCCCGCCUGGGGAGUACGGCCGCAAGGCUAAAACUCAAAGAAAUUGACGGGGGCCCGCACAAGCGGCGGAGCAUGUGGAUUAAUUCGAUGCAACGCGAAGAACCUUACCUGGGUUUGACAUGCACAGGACGCCGGCAGAGAUGUCGGUUCCCUUGUGGCCUGUGUGCAGGUGGUGCAUGGCUGUCGUCAGCUCGUGUCGUGAGAUGUUGGGUUAAGUCCCGCAACGAGCGCAACCCUUGUCUCAUGUCGCCAGCGGGUAAUGCCGGGGACUCGUGAGAGACUGCCGGGGUCAACUCGGAGGAAGGUGGGGAUGACGUCAAGUCAUCAUGCCCCUUAUGUCCAGGGCUUCACACAUGCUACAAUGGCCGGUACAAAGGGCUGCGAUGCCGCGAGGUUAAGCGAAUCCUUUUAAAGCCGGUCUCAGUUCGGAUCGGGGUCUGCAACUCGACCCCGUGAAGUCGG
RNAcentral lists this ribosomal RNA (769 nucleotides) under uncultured Mycobacterium sp. Its description in RNAcentral is "bacterial SSU rRNA". It matches the Rfam family "Bacterial small subunit ribosomal RNA", at positions 562 to 1329 of the family's 1533-position model. The record is from RNAcentral. Lineage: Bacteria; Bacillati; Actinomycetota; Actinomycetes; Mycobacteriales; Mycobacteriaceae.